CGAAAGCCUGAUGCAGCAACGCCGCGUGAGGGAUGACGGCCUUCGGGUUGUAAACCUCUUUUAGUAGGGAAGAAGCGAAAGUGACGGUACCUGCAGAAAAAGCACCGGCUAACUACGUGCCAGCAGCCGCGGUAAUACGUAGGGUGCAAGCGUUGUCCGGAAUUAUUGGGCGUAAAGAGCUCGUAGGCGGUUUGUCGCGUCUGCUGUGAAAUCUGGGGGCUCAACCCCCAGCCUGCAGUGGGUACGGGCAGACUAGAGUGCGGUAGGGGAGAUUGGAAUUCCUGGUGUAGCGGUGGAAUGCGCAGAUAUCAGGAGGAACACCGAUGGCGAAGGCAGAUCUCUGGGCCGUAACUGACGCUGAGGAGCGAAAGCAUGGGGAGCGAACAGGAUUAGAUACCCUGGUAGUCCAUGCCGUAAACGUUGGGAACUAGAUGUGGGGGCCAUUCCACGGUCUCCGUGUCGCAGCUAACGCAUUAAGUUCCCCGCCUGGGGAGUACGGCCGCAAGGCUAAAACUCAAAGGAAUUGACGGGGGCCCGCACAAGCGGCGGAGCAUGCGGAUUAAUUCGAUGCAACGCGAAGAACCUUACCAAGGCUUGACAUAUACCGGAAACGUCCAGAGAUGGUCGCCCCGCAAGGUCGGUAUACAGGUGGUGCAUGGUUGUCGUCAGCUCGUGUCGUGAGAUGUUGGGUUAAGUCCCGCAACGAGCGCAACCCUCGUUCUAUGUUGCCAGCACGUAAUGGUGGGAACUCAUAGGAGACUGCCGGGGUCAACUCGGAAGAAGGUGGGGAUGACGUCAAAUCAUCAUGCCCCUUAUGUCUUGGGCUUCACGCAUGCUACAAUGGCCGGUACAAAGGGCUGCGAUACCGUAAGG
RNAcentral lists this ribosomal RNA (873 nucleotides) under uncultured bacterium. RNAcentral describes it as "bacterial SSU rRNA". It matches the Rfam family "Bacterial small subunit ribosomal RNA", at positions 376 to 1262 of the family's 1533-position model. The record is from RNAcentral.